Molecule: ribosomal RNA, 164 nt
Filed under: Ptilostemon leptophyllus
Lineage: Eukaryota; Viridiplantae; Streptophyta; Magnoliopsida; Asterales; Asteraceae
Description: 5.8S ribosomal RNA
Rfam family: 5.8S ribosomal RNA
About the family: 5.8S ribosomal RNA (5.8S rRNA) is a component of the large subunit of the eukaryotic ribosome. It is transcribed by RNA polymerase I as part of the 45S precursor that also contains 18S and 28S rRNA. Functionally, it is thought that 5.8S rRNA may be involved in ribosome translocation.
Source: RNAcentral
UAAACGACUCUCGGCAACGGAUAUCUUGGCUCACGCAUCGAUGAAGAACGUAGCAAAAUGCGAUACUUGGUGUGAAUUGCAGAAUCCCGUGAACCAUCGAGUUUUUGAACGCAAGUUGCGCCCAAAGCCAUUCGGCCGAGGGCACGUCUGCCUGGGCGUCACGC